Molecule: unclassified non-coding RNA, 165 nt
Filed under: uncultured Ascomycota
Lineage: Eukaryota; Fungi; Ascomycota
Description: sequence contains ITS1
Source: RNAcentral
CCGUAACGCGGCGGUCCAGCAGCCCAAAAAACUGCUGGCCGCCACUCGCGUUUAUCACCCUUGAAUUUGAGCACCUUCUGUUUCCUCGGCGGGUUCGCCCGCCAACGAGGACCCCUUGAACUCUUUGUAGUAGCAGUAUUUGUCUGAAAACAAGUUAAUUAAUUA